UGGGGAAUAUUGGACAAUGGGCGCAAGCCUGAUCCAGCAACGCCGCGUGGAGGACGAAGGUCUUCGGAUUGUAAACUCCUGUCAGGUGGGACGAAGGAACGCCGGUGAAUAAUCGGCGUUCUUGACGGUACCGCCAGAGGAAGCCCCGGCUAACUCCGUGCCAGCAGCCGCGGUAAUACGGAGGGGGCGAGCGUUAUUCGGAAUUAUUGGGCGUAAAGGGCGCGUAGGCGGCCCGGUAAGUCAAAGGUGAAAUCCCUCGGCUCAACUGAGGAAUUGCCUUUGAAACUGCAGGGCUUGAGGCCGGGAGGGGGUAGUGGAAUUCCCAGUGUAGCGGUGAAAUGCGUAGAUACUGGGAGGAACACCAGUGGCGAAGGCGGCUACCUGGACCGGUUCUGACGCUGAUGCGCGAAAGCGUGGGGAGCAAACAGG
This 429-nucleotide ribosomal RNA is filed under the name uncultured bacterium. RNAcentral describes it as "bacterial SSU rRNA". It matches the Rfam family "Bacterial small subunit ribosomal RNA", at positions 355 to 776 of the family's 1533-position model. The record is from RNAcentral.